GGUGGCUCAGUGGUAGAGCGCUUGCCUAGCAUGCAUGAAGCCCUGGGUUCGAUUCCUCAGUACCA
Non-coding RNA from Dipodomys ordii (Ord's kangaroo rat), 65 nucleotides. NCBI's taxonomy places the organism in Eukaryota, Metazoa, Chordata, Mammalia, Rodentia, Heteromyidae. The record is from Rfam.